CCUACGGGAGGCAGCAGUGGGGAAUAUUGCGCAAUGGGCGAAAGCCUGACGCAGCGACGCCGCGUGAGGGAUGAAGGUCUUCGGAUCGUAAACCUCUGUCAGCAGGGAAGAACGGUCACUGUGCUAAUCAGCAGUGAAUUGACGGUACCUGCAAAGGAAGCACCGGCUAACUCCGUGCCAGCAGCCGCGGUAAUACGGAGGGUGCGAGCGUUAAUCGGAAUUACUGGGCGUAAAGCGCUCGUAGGCGGUAUGUCAAGUCAAGGGUGAAAUCCCCGCGCUCAACGUGGGAACUGCCUUUGAGACUGGGUAACUGGAGGGGGUGAGAGGAUAGUGGAAUUCCAGGUGUAGGGGUGAAAUGCGUAGAUAUCUGGAGGAACAUCAGUGGCGAAGGCGACUAUCUGGCACAUAACUGACGCUGAGGAGCGAAAGCGUGGGUAGCAAACAGGAUUAGAUACCCCGGUAGUC
This 465-nucleotide ribosomal RNA is filed under the name uncultured bacterium. RNAcentral describes it as "partial 16S ribosomal RNA". It matches the Rfam family "Bacterial small subunit ribosomal RNA", at positions 338 to 795 of the family's 1533-position model. The record is from RNAcentral.